This 1047-nucleotide long non-coding RNA is filed under the name Arachis ipaensis. RNAcentral's name for it is "long non-coding RNA (AIPA_LNC001625)". Lineage: Eukaryota; Viridiplantae; Streptophyta; Magnoliopsida; Fabales; Fabaceae. The record is from RNAcentral.
GCGAGAUAAAAGCGCAAUGCUCAAGGAACGAGUUAACUUGCAUGCUAAGAAAACUGUAACUGUCAAACAUAAGGUAACAGAAGUAGGAAUAGAGUGCCAAAGUCCUUUUCGGGUCCAAACCUGCUUUCUUUUCAAUUCAACAUACUCUUCCUCAUCAUCAUAACAAUCACCACAAUAAAUCUACUUCAAAUCAACAAUUAAACUCAUACAAUAUUCAAAUCCAACAACCAAAAUUCAACUAAGAAUCAUAGUUCACAAAUCCUAGGCUUUUAACACAAAUACCUCAAAUCAAUAAUUCACCAAAUCGUUAGUUAAUAACUAAUUAUCCAAUAAACUUCAACCAAAUAUAUAUAUUCAUCGACAAAUUACUAAACAUUAAGCAUACACCUGCAUUCCAACUUAUCCUAUGGUCAUCUAGCCUAAGUUUUCACAGAACAUUAUAUAUUAAAUGCAAGAAACCUAAACCAUACCUUGGCCGAUUUCCACGUAACGACCAAAGCUAUUUAUUCAAAACCAAGACAACCCCUCAAAACUCAACUAAUCCGCUUCCUCCAAGUUCCAGUAUUCACAAUUUCAAGCUCCAAUUAUUUAUUUUCAACCUAAUACACAUUCAUAAUACAUAUAUACCCAAUUUAAUACUCAAAGCUCAAAUUUAAUGAAAAUAAAAUAGAAUUAUCGUAUCCUCAUCUUACCCAAGCUUCACACAAGCAAGAGUGAACGUUUCUCUCAAGCUAAUUGGAUCCUAAAACAUCAAAAAUCAAAGAAAUUCAAUAUUCCCACUUAAAAUUCGAAAAUUGGGGGAAGAUGAAGCUGAGAGUGAAAUAACAAGUUACCAGUGAAAUUGUUCCAGUAGAAAUGUAGAGCUCAAAAGUUACCUAUGAAAUUGUUUCGGUAGAAAUGUAGAGCUCGACGCGGUGAACGCGUGGCCGCAAACGGUGCGGCGAUCGGAGCUCGAACGGAGGAGUUACGGGAUUUGGAAAGUAACGUGAGGGUUACGGGAUUUUUUUUUUUCUCGUUCUUCCCUCCCCUGGAAGCUGAAAGCUUCGC